AUACCUUUCUCGGCCUUUUGGCUAAGAUCAAGUGUAGUAUCUGUUCUUAUCAGUUUAAUAUCUGAUAUGUGGGCCAUGUGCCCACUUCGAUAUUAAAUUUAUUUUUUGUGGGGGAGGGCCCACAACAGUAGCUUGCUACUGGGGUCCUCGGGCGUCGCCAAGGCGUUGCACUGCUGCCCGGGCCUGGCGCACCCCAA
This 197-nucleotide small nuclear RNA is filed under the name Oryza meridionalis. Its description in RNAcentral is "snRNA U2". It matches the Rfam family "U2 spliceosomal RNA". From Rfam's summary of the family: U2 is a small nuclear RNA (snRNA) component of the spliceosome (involved in pre-mRNA splicing). Complementary binding between U2 snRNA (in an area lying towards the 5' end but 3' to hairpin I) and the branchpoint sequence (BPS) of the intron results the bulging out of an unpaired adenosine, on the BPS, which initiates a nucleophilic attack at the intronic 5' splice site, thus starting the first of two transesterification reactions that mediate splicing. Lineage: Eukaryota; Viridiplantae; Streptophyta; Magnoliopsida; Poales; Poaceae. The record is from Rfam by way of RNAcentral.